GUAGGUCAAAGUUGUAUUUCACUAUUUUGUGGUUUAGGGUAUGUACAUGAUUUUUUUUAGGCUGUAAAAUGACAUUUAAUUAAUCUAAUAUAGGGUAUCUAGAAGUUAGAAUGUUAUUAAAUCUUGCUUUAAUGUAAUUGGUUCCCGAAAUACGUGACAUAUGAACAAUUGAAAUUAUGGCUGACGAAUUUAUUUUUUAUUUUAUUUUUAAAUUGAAAAGUUAGAAAGUUAAAUACUGUUUGACUAUAAAUGAAAAGGAAAAAAAAGUGACUUAUGAUUGGUUACAAAUAUGGCAGGUGAGUUAAUUAUAAUUUUAUCUAAAAGCAGUGACAUUCUCUUGUAAAUAAUUUUAGAAAUGACAAAUCUAUUUGUUCAAUCCAUCUAUAUUUGAUAAAUAUUUUGUGACCCGUAGCAAUAAACCAAAGGAAAUCUGACAUAUAGUUACGUAAUGUUAGCUGUUGUGGUAAAUGUAUUCAAGUAAAACUAUUGGUGUGAUAUAUAUAAUAUUAAGUAAACAAAGUCAUCCUAUAAAAGAAAAUUCAAAAUAAUUAAUAUUGUUAAGCAUAAAUAUAGAAAUGGCAUGCCAUUGUACAUAACUUCAAAAGGUUAAGGCAUGGAUUAUGCUUUAAUAGUAUAUAUGU
Molecule: long non-coding RNA, 641 nt
Filed under: Brassica napus (rape)
Lineage: Eukaryota; Viridiplantae; Streptophyta; Magnoliopsida; Brassicales; Brassicaceae
Description: long non-coding RNA (BNAP_LNC017707)
Source: RNAcentral